GUGGGGAAUUUUGGACAAUGGGCGCAAGCCUGAUCCAGCCAUUCCGCGUGCAGGAUGAAGGCCUUCGGGUUGUAAACUGCUUUUGUACGGAACGAAAAGCCUCUGGUUAAUACCCGGGGGUCAUGACGGUACCGUAAGAAUAAGCACCGGCCAACUACGUGCCAGCAGCCGCGGUAAUACGAAGGGGGCUAGCGUUGCUCGGAAUUACUGGGCGUAAAGGGCGCGUAGGCGGACAGUUUAGUCAGAGGUGAAAGCCCAGGGCUCAACCUUGGAAUUGCGCUUGUGACUGCAAGGCUGUAGUGCGGCAGAGGGGGAUGGAAUUCCGCGUGUAGCAGUGAAAUGCGUAGAUAUGCGGAGGAACACCGAUGGCGAAGGCAAUCCCCUGGGCCUGCACUGACGCUCAUGCACGAAAGCGUGGGGAGCAAACAGGAUUAGAAACCCUAGUAUCC
RNAcentral lists this ribosomal RNA (449 nucleotides) under uncultured bacterium. RNAcentral describes it as "partial 16S ribosomal RNA". It matches the Rfam family "Bacterial small subunit ribosomal RNA", at positions 354 to 795 of the family's 1533-position model. The record is from RNAcentral.